Long non-coding RNA from Zingiber officinale, 252 nucleotides. RefSeq lists it as uncharacterized. NCBI's taxonomy places the organism in Eukaryota, Viridiplantae, Streptophyta, Magnoliopsida, Zingiberales, Zingiberaceae. The transcript is spliced from 3 exons. The record is from RefSeq and is a predicted model, not a curated record.
GGAGAGCUCUUCACUUCAUGCUCAGCACCGGCUUCCCACAGACAUCUCCGACCUUCAUCAGAUUCUGAACAGCAAGCUUCUUCUUCAAUGGAGGAGAUCACCAAGGAGUUUGAGGAGAGGAAGAUUGAACUCGAAGCUAAGGCUCUAAAGAUCUAUCAGGCCUCAGACGCUGAUAUCAAGAUCUGCAUUACUUGUCAAAGUUAAAUUUGAUCGAAAUUCCAUAAAGAACAAGGUAUGUUGCUGAAAAAUUUG